CUAAGAAUCUUGCGCAAUGGGCGAAAGCCUGACGCAGCAAUUCCGCGUGGGGGACGAAGGCCCUCGGGUCGUAAACCCCUUUUGCGAGGGAAGAAGUUCUGGCGGUACAUCGCGAAUAAGACACGGCUAACUACGUGCCAGCAGCCGCGGUAAUACGUAGGUGUCGAGCGUUGUCCAGAUUUAUUGGGAGUAAAGAGCCCGCAGGCGGCUUGCCAAGUUCGAGGUGAAAUCUCCCGGCUCAACCGGGAGGGUGCCUCGAAAACUGGCAGGCUUGAGGCAGGGAGAGGGAUGUGGAAUUCCCGGUGUAGUGGUGAAAUGCGUAGAUAUCGGGAGGAACACCAGUGGCGAAGGCGGCAUCCUGGCCCUGUCCUGACGCUCAGGGGCGAAAGCGUGGGGAGCAAACC
RNAcentral lists this ribosomal RNA (404 nucleotides) under uncultured bacterium. RNAcentral describes it as "bacterial SSU rRNA". It matches the Rfam family "Bacterial small subunit ribosomal RNA", at positions 355 to 774 of the family's 1533-position model. The record is from RNAcentral.